GCGCGUGAGGGAGCACUCUCCCCUGUGUGCUCCCUCUUCAGCUCCUUCGUGCACCACACUGAUACCGGACCGGAAGAUGAUGUCAUCUUCCGGCUCCGGCGUCAGUACGCAGCGUGAGGGAGCUGAAGAGGGAGCACACAGAGGAGAGUGCUUCCUCUCGCGC
Molecule: non-coding RNA, 163 nt
Organism: Pelobates cultripes (western spadefoot toad)
Lineage: Eukaryota; Metazoa; Chordata; Amphibia; Anura; Pelobatidae
Source: the annotation of a GenBank genome assembly